UGACAGGUGGUGCAUGGUUGUCGUCAGCUCGUGUCGUGAGAUGUUGGUUAAGUCCCGCAACGAGCGCAACCCUCGACCUUAGUUGCCAGCAUUCAGUUGGGCACUCUAAGGUGACUGCCGGCUAAAAGUACGGAGGAAGGUGGGAUGACGUCAAAUCAUCAUGCCCCUUAUGACCUGGGCUACACACGUGCUACAGUGGCCGGUACAGACGGACGCAAAGCCGCGAGGUGGAGCAAAUCCUAAAAAGCCGGUCUCAGUUCGGAUUGCAGGCUGCAAUUCGCCUGCAUGAAGUCGGAAUCGCUAGUAAUCGCAGGUCAGCAUACUGCGGUCGAAUACGUUCCCGGGCCUU
This 349-nucleotide ribosomal RNA is filed under the name uncultured Peptococcaceae bacterium. RNAcentral describes it as "bacterial SSU rRNA". It matches the Rfam family "Bacterial small subunit ribosomal RNA", at positions 1032 to 1382 of the family's 1533-position model. Lineage: Bacteria; Bacillati; Bacillota; Clostridia; Eubacteriales; Peptococcaceae. The record is from RNAcentral.